Molecule: non-coding RNA, 48 nt
Organism: Schistosoma mansoni
Lineage: Eukaryota; Metazoa; Platyhelminthes; Trematoda; Strigeidida; Schistosomatidae
Source: Rfam
AUCCAACUGACGAGUCCCAAGUAGGAUGAAACGCGCCUUAUCCUGGAU